GAGUUUGAUCGUGGCUCAGAGCGAACGCUGGCGGCAGGCCUAACACAUGCAAGUCGAGCGCCGUAGCAAUACGGAGCGGCAGACGGGAGAGUAACACGUGGGAACGUACCCUUCAGUUCGGAACAACCCAGGGAAACUUGGGCUAAUACCGAAUACGUCCGUAAGGAGAAAGAUUUAUCGCUGAAGGAUCGGCCCGCGUCUGAUUAGCUUGUUGGUGAGGUAACGGCUCACCAAGGCUACGAUCAGUAGCUGGUCUGAGAGGAUGAUCAGCCUCACUGGGACUGAGACACGGCCCAGACUCCUACGGGAGGCAGCAGUGGGGAAUAUUGGACAAUGGGCGCAAGCCUGAUCCAGCCAUGCCGCGUGGAUGAUGAAGGCCCUAGGGUUGUAAAGUCC
This 396-nucleotide ribosomal RNA is filed under the name uncultured Alphaproteobacteria bacterium. Its description in RNAcentral is "bacterial SSU rRNA". It matches the Rfam family "Bacterial small subunit ribosomal RNA", at positions 9 to 433 of the family's 1533-position model. Lineage: Bacteria; Pseudomonadati; Pseudomonadota; Alphaproteobacteria. The record is from RNAcentral.